RNAcentral lists this ribosomal RNA (497 nucleotides) under uncultured bacterium. RNAcentral's name for it is "partial 16S ribosomal RNA". It matches the Rfam family "Bacterial small subunit ribosomal RNA", at positions 28 to 507 of the family's 1533-position model. The record is from RNAcentral.
GAUGAACGCUGGCGGCGUGCCUAAUACAUGCAAGUCGAGCGAACAGACGAGGAGCUUGCUCCUCUGACGUUAGCGGCGGACGGGUGAGUAACACGUGGAUAACCUACCUAUAAGACUGGGAUAACUUCGGGAAACCGGAGCUAAUACCGGAUAAUAUAUUGAACCGCAUGGUUCAAUAGUGAAAGACGGUUUUGCUGUCACUUAUAGAUGGAUCCGCGCCGCAUUAGCUAGUUGGUAAGGUAACGGCUUACCAAGGCGACGAUGCGAACCCCACCUGAGAGGGACGUCGCCCACAUUGGCAGUGAGGCACGGCCGCGACCCCUGGGGGGGGACACAGUCGGGACUCUUCCGCAAUGGGGGAAAGGCGGACGUAGCAACGCGGCGGGAGUGAUGAAGGACUCAGGAUCGUAAAACUAUGUUAUUAGGGAAGAACAAAUGUGCAAGUAACUAUGCACGUCUUGACGGUACCUAAUCAAAAAGCCACGGCUAACUACGUG